This 484-nucleotide ribosomal RNA is filed under the name uncultured bacterium. RNAcentral describes it as "partial 16S ribosomal RNA". It matches the Rfam family "Bacterial small subunit ribosomal RNA", at positions 29 to 523 of the family's 1533-position model. The record is from RNAcentral.
AGUGAACGCUGGCGGCGUGCUUAACACAUGCAAGUCGAACGAGAACGGAUUAUAGCUUGCCAUAAUUGUCAGCUAAGUGGCGCACGGGUGAGUAAUGUAUAGGUAAUAUGCCUCUUACUAAGGGAUAACAAAUGGAAACGCUUGCUAAUACCUUAUACUCCUUAUUAACAGAAGUUAAUAAGGGAAAGAUUUAUUGGUAAGAGAUUAGCCUGUAUUGUAUCAGUUAGUUGGUGGGGUAAUGGCUUACCAAGACUAUGACACAUAACUGGUUUGAGAGGAUGAUCAGUCACACUGGAACUGAGACACGGUCCAGACUCCUACGGGAGGCAGCAGUGGGGAAUAUUGCACAAUGGACGGAAGUCUGAUGCAGCAACGCCGCGUGGAGGAUGACACAUUUCGGUGCGUAAACUCCUUUUAUAUGAGAAGAUAAUGACGGUAUUAUAUGAAUAAGCACCGGCUAACUCCGUGCCAGCCGCCGCAGUAA